RNAcentral lists this long non-coding RNA (3938 nucleotides) under Homo sapiens (human). RNAcentral describes it as "HSALNT0336747". The record is from RNAcentral. Lineage: Eukaryota; Metazoa; Chordata; Mammalia; Primates; Hominidae.
AACCCCAAGCGCGUGGCUAAGUGCGAGCAGGCGCGUGUGACGUCGGGAGGCGCCGCGGCUCCUCGGCCGCCCCACUCGGUGGUCCCCUGUCUGGAUCCAAACUGCUGACUGGCUGACCCGAGUGGUCACAUUUGCCCUCUGGGGCUUUUGAAAACCUUAAAUCAAAAUUGCUUUUGAAUCUGACAACUCCUGAGGCUACUUUCGCGGCCUCGGGGCUGUUUCAUAUAAGGACGCGAGUUUUCCUGAUCAGGUCUGUCGGCCACGUUACGAUUUCCAAUUUGCGAUCCAUCAGUUACUUCCAUUGGGUCUUCAGCCCCCAGGGACUGUGGAUCCUAGACCCCGCGGAGAAGCCCGUGGACUGGAGCUGUGUCAGCUCUGAUGGUAGGAAAGACUAGAUCAAUGACGCGGGCAUUUCAGGACAUAAUCGUAUAUUUUCAAGUUCGAGUUUUUCGGGCUUGGAUUAUCCAGAUAAUUGCCUCCAGUCUCCUCCAGUCCCCCUGGUGUAUGCACUCGCAGCCGCAGAGUUAGAGUCCGGGAGGUGAAGAUUGGCGCUUGGAAAUUAGAUUUGGUUUCUAAAGUAUGAAUUCGUGUCCAACAGUUCGUGCCUUGGACAACGUGGGUUGUAUAAAACUCAAGCUGUGUGUUUAAAACAGGUUUUCUAGCUGCUGGUUCUCUCCAAGUUAUGUAGGACUUUUGAACUGGCCACCCCGCUGUGCGUCUGCGAGGGCAGGGACUGAGCGAGACCCAGCCAGGGGCGCCGGGAGACUGGCGGCGGCUGGGUUGGGGUCCAGCCGGAAACCACACGUUGGCAGGGCCGCUUGGUCAGUAGUGGAGAGAGCCUCUGAGAAAGGGCCGUCUAUCGAUCCCCAGACCCCUCCGUCACGGAGGGAUUCAUAGCUUCCUGGGGAUCGGCCCAGGGCGUCCCUUUGACACUCCGUUCUCUGUCCACACAAGCCCGGCGCGGGGCGGGGAGAAGAGGAAAGGACGCGACUGGGAAAGACGGGACCCUGGCGGGGUUUGGCCCGGGGGAGAGCGGGAAGGAGCCCGGUCGGCGCGGAGGACCUGCGGCCAGCGUGCUAAGCCCUUAUUAGAACAGAAACCCCUUUCCCCCCACACUCUCAUCUCUUUUGCGCGGUCCCCACCGCCAUGCCUUCAAUAACCUUGUGAAUAGAAACCCGAAUCGUUCCAUCUUGGCUUCUGAAACUUAACCCCAGGCAAAGCACACACUCGGCGGGGCCAGGUGGGGCUGGAUGGGGUCCGCGCCCGACGGCGGGGCCGCGGGGGUCGGUGAACCCCAGCUCCCCUGUCGGCCUCAGGGCGGAUGGCUGGGUCGGCGCGGGGUUCGGGGCCUCCGAUCGGCUGCACGAGGGCGGGCCAGGACCCAGACCCCGUCCCCGCUCCGGCCCCGCAAUCCAGCGGGUGACGAGCCUGACGCGCGCCGGUCGCCUGCCACCUCCCGCCCCGAGCGCCCUGGGCCAGUACCUCCCGGCCGCAGGUGAACGCUCCGCGGCCCGCCAGGCUCAAGCUCGACCGUCACAACUUUCCGUGAGGGCUGCACGUUUUUCUGAAUUCAAAUGCCUGCAGGUGCAACUCAUGUUUGCCACACGGGCAAUUAGCGGGCGCGUCCAAACGCCUGAGGCAAAACCUGAGAUCAUCACUGAAAAAAAAAAAUCUAACAGUUCUUUGCCACUAUACUAGUGUAUUUAAUUAUGAUUGCGAAAAAUUGCAGAGGGAAACGAUUUGCUGGCAAUUAAGUAGCAACUGGUUAAAGUUUUUUUUCAAUUUGUCUUUGAAGACAACUGCUGUACUAUGUAUAAAGAAGAGUAUAGCAGGGAAGUUCGAAAGCACACACGGAAUUUUAAAUCUGUUAAAAAUAUUUUUUAAGCAAAGAAGGUGGUAUUUUAAAAGCAUUUAAAACAGCGCCUGGUAUAUAGUAAGCGCCAUAGAAGUCUGUUAAGAAUGCAUAGGGCAAGAGAGCUCAGGGUUUUGAACGCUAUCAAAAUAAUAUGCUUAUUUAUCUGCAAAACACAAUAGCAAUUAGGCAGCACGAGAUUUCCCCAUUAGGUCGUUUAUUCUCCUCAGCUGUUUAUUCCAUUUGCCUGUCCCUUGGUUGAGCGCCUUGUCUGUCUAUAACCGAAAGUGCGUUUCGGGUCAGAGAGACAGAAACAGACACAGGAAACCCUUUAAAGCGCCCCCGCCGACUUAAAUACGGUAGUGGAUUGGAGGUGGGGAGGUGUAGGGGAGGCGUUAUGUGGAGAGAAAGAAAAGAGAAAGAAUGAGGGAACGGCGGGAUUUCAAGCCUCCCCGCCCUUCUGCGACAACCUUUUCAGCGAAAGGGAAGGCUUAGGAAGAAAAGAUGUCCGCGCGUAGAGCAAACCGCAGUUCUUUCCUUUCUUUUUGAAGGAUUUGUACCAUGAGUUAAUUACACCAAAAGAUACGAGGGACUUUAUUAGAAAGGAGAUGCCGUUAGGAAAGAAAGGCCAGGACGGCCGAUCUAAAGGGAAUGGAGAAGGGAAGACUCAGACGCCCUCCCGAAAUUGGUGGUCUAGCCUGUGUUUUGUGCUAAAUGUUAUUUAACUUAAUGGCGUGGGAGUGAGAUGUUGAAUGCAGAGAUCUGGAAAUACCAGAUUUAGUGGUCCUGUUCCUCCUCCCCGACUCUUUUCACACCCAUUUAAUAAAAAGUUACAGUUUUUACACCCGUAUUGAUAAAUUUGGCGAUGUUGGCCAAGUAUUAUCUCGCCCCGCAGAUUUUGAAUUUUGUUGCACAAACCGAUGAAAUGAUUGCUUUGCUAUAAUUGUAAAACUUUUUUGGAACGAACCUGGAUUUUUUUUAUGCCUCUUCAUCUACUUUUUGCUUCAUUAGAGCCCUCUGGUUUUCCAAGAUCGACUGUCACACUUUGUUAUUUGUUGCUUCUCUAAAUCCUUUGAGAUGCUGCUCGCAGCUACGUAAAAAACGUUGGCCACUCAGGUAUUUGAUGGGCUUAGAAAGUCACCAAGAUGUGACACCAUUUAAAAGUUUUAGCUUGGUUUCUCAGUGAAAUAAGGGCAUCUCUGUUAAUUAGAAAACUUUGUGUUAGUCUGAGAUGCCUAAGAGCAUAGUCCAAAUUGAAAAUUCCAAUAUUUUGCCACAUCUGAAAUAUAAUUAUUUACACAGCCUUCUCUUUCAAAGGGAGGACAAACAGGUUGCCUUGAGAAGAGCUAUUCUAUUUGCAAUUGCUGGGGCAGGUGACAAACACGUGUGUAUCUGUGGGCAGCCUUGUUGGGCUGCCUUCCCUGACUACAAGGCUUUUGUGAGCUGGUAACGCCUUAAAAUGUGUGAGAAUGCUGCGCCCUAGGAGUGGAGGCCAAGGGCAAGAUCCUUGUACAUUUCAAUACCUUUUCCAACAUCAGGCUGGCAGCAGGCAGGCCAACCUAGGGUCACUGUGUGACACAUAUUUGCAAGCCAGUAAAGCAAAACAAAGCUGAAAGCAAGUGCAAAUUUAGGCCCACCAACCUUGAAGUCAUCCCUGAAAGGGAGCUGCUUUACUAGUUAAUUUUUCUUGCCCAGUCAGCCACACAAAAUGCAUUGUAUUUCUUGGCUUGCCCCAGUAAUUGCGACUUACUUGUUACAGCAGAAGCUUCAAGAAUUUACACUCAUUGGAAUAAUAAAAUAGAAGUAAGCAACCGUGCAUUAAAAAGCUAUGAAAAGAUGAAGAGAAUAUGCCUUCAAAUGGGAAGGAAUACUUAACUGUGAAUAAGACCUAGUUCAACAUGGAACUUCCUGGUGGCCAAGUCAGAAGAGAAGCACAGAACAAAAACGGAGGCACAGAGAGGUCAAUUGAUUGGUCUAAUGACACAGAUCUAGCAAGUGGUGGAACCAGGACUGAAUCCAGAGAAUCUGGAAGACUACUCUGCCAAGACAUCUCAAAAAGUGUGUGUCCGGAAUUGGUGGGUUCUUG